UGGGGAAUCUUGCGCAAUGGGCGAAAGCCUGACGCAGCAACGCCGCGUGGGGGAUGAAUGCCUUCGGGUUGUAAACCCCUUUCAGCAGGGACGAAUCUGACGGUACCUGCAGAAGAAGGUCCGGCCAACUACGUGCCAGCAGCCGCGGUAACACGUAGGGGCCAAGCGUUGUCCGGAUUUAUUGGGCGUAAAGAGCUCGUAGGCGGCUUCGUAAGUCGGGUGUGAAAACCCCAGGCUCAACCUGGGGACGCCACCCGAUACUGCGAUGGCUAGAGUCCGGUAGGGGAGCGCGGAAUUCCUGGUGUAGCGGUGAAAUGCGCAGAUAUCAGGAGGAACACCGGUGGCGAAGGCGGCGCUCUGGGCCGGAACUGACGCUGAGGAGCGAAAGCGUGGGGAGCAAACAG
This 404-nucleotide ribosomal RNA is filed under the name uncultured bacterium. RNAcentral's name for it is "bacterial SSU rRNA". It matches the Rfam family "Bacterial small subunit ribosomal RNA", at positions 355 to 775 of the family's 1533-position model. The record is from RNAcentral.